GCUCAAAGUCCACAGGUGUCUACUGGUCCAUGCUUCCCAAGUGUUUUUGUUCUGCCUAAGUUUCCAAAGAACAUUCAGACUAGAUUGGAUAAUAAAGAACCAUGCAAAACCGGACUAUUCCGAAGCAAAAUCGUUGGGGUGCUUCAAGAAUCCAUGGCACAGUAUACAAUGUAUCCCUCAAAUGACGAGUAUGUCAGAGUUUCAAAGGCGCUGGUGACUAAAUAUCCUUUUUUAAAGGAUCUUGAGGGGAAUGGCUAUCACACAUGGCACAUGUCCUUAAAGCGCAAGUUCAAGACGGAGCGUGCACCCC
Long non-coding RNA from Neoarius graeffei (lesser salmon catfish), 310 nucleotides. RefSeq lists it as uncharacterized. The record is from RefSeq and is a predicted model, not a curated record. The transcript has 3 exons. Lineage: Eukaryota; Metazoa; Chordata; Actinopteri; Siluriformes; Ariidae.